GAUGAACGCUGGCGGCGUGCCUAAUACAUGCAAGUCGAGCGAACGGACGAGAAGCUUGCUUCUCUGAUGUUAGCGGCGGACGGGUGAGUAACACGUGGAUAACCUACCUAUAAGACUGGGAUAACUUCGGGAAACCGGAGCUAAUACCGGAUAAUAUUUUGAACCGCAUGGUUCAAAAGUGAAAGACGGUCUUGCUGUCACUUAUAGAUGGAUCCGCGCUGCAUUAGCUAGUUGGUAAGGUAACGGCUUACCAAGGCAACGAUGCAUAGCCGACCUGAGAGGGUGAUCGGCCACACUGGAACUGAGACACGGUCCAGACUCCUACGGGAGGCAGCAGUAGGGAAUCUUCCGCAAUGGGCGAAAGCCUGACGGAGCAACGCCGCGUGAGUGAUGAAGGUCUUCGGAUCGUAAAACUCUGUUAUUAGGGAAGAACAUAUGUGUAAGUAACUGUGCACAUCUUGACGGUACCUAAUCAGAAAGCCACGGCUAACUACGUGCCAGCAGCCGCGGUAAUACGUAGGUGGCAAGCGUUUUCCGGAAUUAUUGGGCGUAAGCGCGCGUAGGCGGUUUUUUAAGUCUGAUGUGAAAGCCCACGGCUCAACCGUGGAGGGUCAUUGGAAACUGGAAAACUUGAGUGCAGAAGAGGAAAGUGGAAUUCCAUGUGUAGCGGUGAAAUGCGCAGAGAUAUGGAGGAACACCAGUGGCGAAGGCGACUUUCUGGUCUGUAACUGACGCUGAUGUGCGAAAGCGUGGGGAUCAAACAGGAUUAGAUACCCUGGUAGUCCACGCCGUAAACGAUGAGUGCUAAGUGUUAGGGGGUUUCCGCCCCUUAGUGCUGCAGCUAACGCAUUAAGCACUCCGCCUGGGGAGUACGACCGCAAGGUUGAAACUCAAAGGAAUUGACGGGGACCCGCACAAGCGGUGGAGCAUGUGGUUUAAUUCGAAGCAACGCGAAGAACCUUACCAAAUCUUGACAUCCUUUGACAACUCUAGAGAUAGAGCCUUCCCCUUCGGGGGACAAAGUGACAGGUGGUGCAUGGUUGUCGUCAGCUUGUGUCGUGAGAUGUUGGGUUAAGUCCCGCAACGAGCGCAACCCUUAAGCUUAGUUGCCAUCAUUAAGUUGGGCACUCUAAGUUGACUGCCGGUGACAAACCGGAGGAAGGUGGGGAUGACGUCAAAUCAUCAUGCCCCUUAUGAUUUGGGCUACACACGUGCUACAAUGGACAAUACAAAGGGCAGCGAAACCGCGAGGUCAAGCAAAUCCCAUAAAGUUGUUCUCAGUUCGGAUUGUAGUCUGCAACUCGACUACAUGAAGCUGGAAUCGCUAGUAAUCGUAGAUCAGCAUGCUACGGAGAAUACGUUCCCGGGUCU
This 1371-nucleotide ribosomal RNA is filed under the name uncultured bacterium. RNAcentral's name for it is "bacterial SSU rRNA". It matches the Rfam family "Bacterial small subunit ribosomal RNA", at positions 28 to 1381 of the family's 1533-position model. The record is from RNAcentral.